GACGAACGCUGGCGGCGUGCUUAACACAUGCAAGUCGAACGGAAAGGCCCUGCUUUUGUGGGGUGCUCGAGUGGCGAACGGGUGAGUAACACGUGAGUAACCUGCCCUUGACUUUGGGAUAACUUCAGGAAACUGGGGCUAAUACCGGAUAGGAGCUCCUGCUGCAUGGUGGGGGUUGGAAAGUUUCGGCGGUUGGGGAUGGACUCGCGGCUUAUCAGCUUGUUGGUGGGGUAGUGGCUUACCAAGGCUUUGACGGGUAGCCGGCCUGAGAGGGUGACCGGCCACUUUGGGACUGAGAUACGGCCCAGACUCCUACGGGAGGCAGCAGUGGGGAAUAUUGCACGAUGGGAGGAAGCCUGAUGCAGCAACGCCGCGUGCGGGAUGACGGCCUUCGGGUUGUAAACCGCUUUCGCCUGUGACGAAGCGUGAGUGACGGUAAUGGGUAAAGAAGCACCGGCUAACUACGUG
This 468-nucleotide ribosomal RNA is filed under the name uncultured bacterium. RNAcentral describes it as "partial 16S ribosomal RNA". It matches the Rfam family "Bacterial small subunit ribosomal RNA", at positions 28 to 507 of the family's 1533-position model. The record is from RNAcentral.